ACACAUGCAGUCGAACGGUGAAGCAGAGCUUGCUCUGUGGAUCAGUGGCGAACGGGUGAGUAACACGUGAGCAACCUGCCCCUGACUCUGGGAUAAGCGCUGGAAACGGCGUCUAAUACUGGAUAUGAGCUGCGACCGCAUGGUCAGCAGUUGGAAAGAUUUUUCGGUCUGGGAUGGGCUCACGGCCUAUCAGCUUGUUGGUGAGGUAAUGGCUCACCAAGGCGUCGACGGGUAGCCGGCCUGAGAGGGUGACCGGCCACACUGGGACUGAGACACGGCCCAGACUCCUACGGGAGGCAGCAGUGGGGAAUAUUGCACAAUGGGCGCAAGCCUGAUGCAGCAACGCCGCGUGAGGGACGACGGCCUUCGGGUUGUAAACCUCUUUUAGCAGGGAAGAAGCGAAAGUGACGGUACCUGCAGAAAAAGCGCCGGCUAACUACGUGCCAGCAGCCGCGGUAAUACGUAGGGCGCAAGCGUUAUCCGGAAUUAUUGGGCGUAAAGAGCUCGUAGGCGGUUUGUCGCGUCUGCUGUGAAAUCCCGAGGCUCAACCUCGGGUCUGCAGUGGGUACGGGCAGACUAGAGUGCGGUAGGGGAGAUUGGAAUUCCUGGUGUAGCGGUGGAAUGCGCAGAUAUCAGGAGGAACACCGAUGGCGAAGGCAGAUCUCUGGGCCGUUACUGACGCUGAGGAGCGAAAGGGUGGGGAGCAAACAGGCUUAGAUACCCUGGUAGUCCACCCCGUAAACGUUGGGAACUAGUUGUGGGGUCCAUUCCACGGAUUCCGUGACGCAGCU
This 791-nucleotide ribosomal RNA is filed under the name bacterium 128_xplvp197. RNAcentral describes it as "bacterial SSU rRNA". It matches the Rfam family "Bacterial small subunit ribosomal RNA", at positions 51 to 853 of the family's 1533-position model. RNAcentral also lists the same sequence under 1 other name. The record is from RNAcentral.